RNAcentral lists this unclassified non-coding RNA (380 nucleotides) under uncultured bacterium. RNAcentral's name for it is "contains 16S-23S intergenic spacer region". The record is from RNAcentral.
UCCGGUUUAUCACCGGCAGUUCCCCAUGAGUCCCCGGCAUUACCCGCUGGCAACAUGGGAUAGGGGUUGCGCUCGUUACGGGACUUAACCCAACAUUUCACAACACGAGCUGACGACAGCCAUGCAGCACCUGUCACUCGGCUCCCGAAGGCACUCCGCCAUCUCUGGCAGAUUCAGAGGAUGUCAAGGGUAGGUAAGGUUCUUCGCGUUGCAUCGAAUUAAACCACAUGCUCCACCGCUUGUGCGGGCCCCCGUCAAUUCCUUUGAGUUUUAGCCUUGCGGCCGUACUCCCCAGGCGGGGCACUUAAUGCGUUAGCUACGGCACGGAACCCGUCAAUGAGGUCCCACACCUAGUGCCCAUCGUUUACGGCGUGGACUAC